This 37032-nucleotide long non-coding RNA is filed under the name Arabidopsis lyrata. RNAcentral's name for it is "long non-coding RNA (ALYR_LNC000679)". The record is from RNAcentral. Lineage: Eukaryota; Viridiplantae; Streptophyta; Magnoliopsida; Brassicales; Brassicaceae.
UUUUUAAUUUGUGUGAAAUAACCUAGAACGACAAGUAAUAUGAAACGGAGGGAGUAUUUCAUUUGCUGAGUCGACCACAUGGAAUGCUCAAGAAACAACUUAACAUUAAUCCAAGACAUUUUGACGCUUUUUUGCCUUCAUUGAUACGUACGGCCUCUUAGGCUUUUUUAGCUAUUCCCAAUGCCAACUGUCAACGUUCGUAUCUCUAUCGCCAUUUUAAAGAAAAUCCACAAAAAUCAUUCUUUAAUUUAUAGCAUGCCAGGCUGCUGGCUGCUAAUAGCCCAAAUAGAAUUACAAGUGUAUUUGUACAUUUCUUUCUCAUACUCUUUAAUUAUCUAACAAAAACUUUAUGCAAAAUGAAAAAUAAAAAUUUUUCUUUUGCAUUUCACUUAAAUUAGAAUACAUAUUAUUUUUUUUGGACUAUAUAUAUAUAUAUAUAUGUUAUAAAAGUUGUUACUAAAUAGGAAAAUUUGUCAAACAAAAGUGUGAAAAUUGAUUUUCUGACUUUAAGUUGUUGCUCUCUUUUUAUUCUCUCCAUUUUCAAAACUUUAUACUAAAGGAUGCAUAGGUUGAUAAAUUUUACAUUCAUCAAAAAAAGAAAGUUUAUUUUCUGACCAAAAAACCUUCAACCUUACGAAAGUUGCUUGAACUUUUUUUAGGAAAAAGAAAACACUUAAUACUUGAUAAAAAAAAAAAAAAAAAAAAAAAACCUCACGGUUCCGAAGAUAAAUAUUUUAAAAUCAAAACCAAAAUUAAUUCAUAAAUAAGAAAGGGAUAGAUCCGUUUUUUCUGAUUUACUCAAUGCUCUUAAAAAUACUUGCAUCACAUGUGUCAGACAAAACUCAACACAGAUGUGGUAUACGUAUAAAACGUACUUAAAUAAUAAUUAAGCACGUAUUGGUAGCUACAUUAGGCAAGAAAAAUAAUAUGUUUAUUUCAAAUUUCAAUAAUAAUUUUUCUGCCAUUACUAUUAAAUGCUGUUUUUUUUUUUUUUUGACAUCUUUGGAUCGACAAGGCCCGAUCCAUAGCCAAUCCCUACUACGCGGAGUAACGCGACUUAGUGAAAUCGAACUCCGGUGAAGAAGGCGGAGUCAAAUGGACUUAACCACUUGACUAAAGACACAUCUCCUACUAUUAAAUGUUGUUAUCCGUUAAUAAUUAUAAAAUUUUCACAAAUUGGUAAAGUCCGUAUUAAUUUUUUCUUAUACUAUUCAAAUCUCAUUAUUGGACCCAGUCACCUAACCCUACCCCAUAUAUUGGUAUCCCCUCUGGCUUCUAUAUAUACUUUCCAUUUCUCAAAUCUCCAACUUACACCAAAACACAACAAAGACCAUAUAACCUUCUCUCCCACUUAGAGUCUUUCAUCUCACUCUCACCUUAAAAUGGCUCACAACCAUUCUAAUGAAGAAGGCUCCAUUGGAACCUCCUUGCAUGGAGUUACAGCAAGAGAACAAGUCUUCUCUUUCUCCGUCGAUGCUUCGUCUCAAACCGUCCAAUCCGACGACCCAACGGCUAAAUUCGCCCUUCCCGUUGAUUCUGAACAUCGUGCCAAAGUGUUCAACCCACUCUCAUUUGCAAAACCUCACAUGAGAGCAUUUCACUUAGGAUGGCUCUCUUUCUUCACUUGCUUCAUCUCAACCUUCGCUGCCGCACCAUUAGUCCCCAUCAUCCGCGACAACCUCGACCUCACUAAAACCGACAUUGGGAAUGCCGGAGUCGCCUCCGUCUCUGGAGCCAUUUUCUCAAGGUUAGCCAUGGGAGCGGUUUGCGAUCUCCUUGGUGCGCGGUAUGGGACUGCCUUCUCCCUCAUGCUAACAGCCCCAAUCGUCUUCUCAAUGUCAUUUGUGGGUGGCCCCAGCGGAUACUUAGGCGUCCGGUUCAUGAUCGGAUUCUGCCUCGCCACGUUUGUGUCGUGCCAGUAUUGGACCAGCGUCAUGUUCAACGGUAAGAUCAUAGGACUAGUGAAUGGCUGUGCCGGCGGGUGGGGUGAUAUGGGCGGUGGAGUGACUCAACUCCUCAUGCCGAUGGUCUUCCACAUCAUUAAACUCGCCGGAGCCACUCCGUUCAUGGCGUGGCGCAUAUCUUUCUUCGCUCCCGGAUUUCUUCAAGUUGUUAUGGGCAUUCUCGUCCUCAGUCUCGGCCAAGAUCUCCCUGACGGUAACCUAAGUAUACUUCAGAAGAGAGGUCAAGUCUCUAAAGACAAAUUCUCCAAGGUAUUUGUCUAUAUCUAUUUCUGUCUCAUCUUUGAUUAUAUAGCAAAUCCAGAUCAAGAACAAUAUAUAUGGCUCUCAAUCUCAUUAAAAGAAUCUUGCAAACAUUUAAAAUAGUCAUGAAAUUUUGCAAUAAAUUUUAGUCGUAACAAACUUUGCGACUAUCUUUCAAAAUUAGCAUUGAUGCAAAGUUACAAACUACUCAGAAAAAUAAUUGCUAGUUGCGAUUAAGUUGCCUAUAACCAAUGACAAUAACUAAUAGUUAGCAACAAAUUUGAUACAAAUUAAAUAAUCAUUAGCACUGUUCUUGUGUCUAAAGGCUUUUCUUGUUAUAGGUUUUCUGGUUUGCUGUGAAGAACUACAGAACAUGGAUUUUAUUCGUUCUUUAUGGAUCUUCCAUGGGAAUUGAAUUAACUAUCAACAACGUUAUCUCCGGAUAUUUCUACGACAGGUUUGAUUUCUUAUACUUUAAAUCCAAAUGAGGAUCUUACUUACUUCUAGCACAAGGUAAUAACCAUUGGUUUCUUGUUAUCUACGUAUAUAUAUAUCAGGUUUAACCUUAAGCUUCAAACAGCUGGUAUCGUAGCAGCCAGCUUUGGAAUGGCUAACUUCAUUGCCCGUCCCUUCGGUGGUUACGCUUCUGAUGUAGCGGCUCGGAUUUUUGGAAUGAGAGGCCGGUUAUGGACCUUAUGGAUCUUUCAAACCGUAGGAGCUCUUUUCUGUAUCUGGCUAGGUCGAGCUAGUACGCUUCCCAUAGCAAUCUUAGCAAUGGUGCUCUUCUCAAUCGGUACACAAGCAGCUUGUGGAGCCCUCUUCGGGGUUGCGCCUUUUGUCUCGCGCCGCUCUCUAGGGCUCAUAUCGGGACUAACCGGCGCAGGAGGAAACUUUGGGUCCGGUUUGACUCAACUGCUUUUCUUCUCAUCAUCGAGAUUUAGUACAGCGGAAGGGCUCUCGUUGAUGGGCGUUAUGGCAGUUCUGUGCACGAUCCCGGUUGCGUUUAUACAUUUUCCGCAAUGGGGAAGCAUGUUUUUAAGGCCGUCGAGCGAUGGAGAAAGAUCGCAGGAAGAAUAUUAUUACAGUUCCGAAUGGACGGAGAACGAGAAACAACAAGGAUUGCACGAAGGAAGCAUCAAAUUUGCUGAGAAUAGUCGGUCAGAGAGAGGCCGAAAAGUAGCUUUGACUGAUAUUCCAACGCCGGCGAACGCAACUCCAAGUCAUGUUUGAAGACAAACUUACAAGAGAUUUUUUCCUUGUACAUUAAAUCCCUUUUAAUAGUUUCUUAAUUCCACUCAUAUAUGAGAUAUGUACCGAGUAAGAUCUUGCUUUGACGAGCAAGGUUCGAUGAGCGUGGUACUUUACUAUAAAUUGUUGCAAUGUUGUUUCGAUUAAAGGCAGCAUUGUUCAACAACUCUUUCUGCACCAAUCAGAUUUAUGUCAAGCGAAAAGUAAAAAAAAGUCUGUUAAAGAUGCGUGUGACGUUAAGAGACUACAUAAGAAAACUUUAUGAACAUAGACCACUGAAGAAGCAAUUGAAUGAGUAAUCGUUAAAAGAAUUUUAAGAAGAGCCAAAAGCCCAAAACGUUAGUAACACAGAAAUUAUCAGUGCAAUUCUGUAAGUGAAUCAAGAUUCCAUAAUCAACAUAAAGAUGGAAUAUUCGGAUACUUUUCCAACGAAUAUACGAAUAUAAUUAUGAGAAGAUUCUCACUUUAAUAUUAAAUAUAAAUACCAUAAUCGUCAACAUCUCGGUCUUAAAAACAAAAAAAAAAAUCCUACAAAUACCACCAAAAAUAUUACUUUCUCUCUCUGUUUGGCCUUCAAAAAAACGUUCAACAACAAUAACAAAAUAAAAAUAAAAAGACAUGAUAAUGAUGAUAAUACUAAUAUAGAAAGAAUCUCUGACCUCUUAAUGCUUAAGAAAUGCAGAGAUUACUGAGUAUGGUUUAGCUGUCUCUCAAGUGUGGCUUCAGAACUCGUUAAAAACCAUUCCCAAAACCAUCAAAAAAACAUAUCCUUCCCUCUCUCCCUCGGCAUGACCCAAUCUGAGUCUUUUCCUUUAUCCAUCAAGAGAAGAAGACUCGACCUUUAUCUUCAAUCUUCAAGUCCGGCUUUAGCCUUGAGGUGCCUCUUGAAGUCCAUAAUGUCACCGUUCCAUUUAGUUAUGCAUUGUUUCUCACAAACCCAUAUCUCAUGCGCCACUUGGUUGAUCAGCCUGAAGUCGUGACUCACCAGAACCAGACCACCAUCCCACUCGUUCAAUGCCUCAGCGAGUGAGUCAAUUGUCUCGAUAUCCAAAUGGUUAGUUGGCUCGUCCAGUAGAAGCAUGUUAGGCUGCUUAUAAGCUAACCACGCAAAGAUCACUCUGCUCCUUUGUCCAUCAGAUAGAUUCUUCAUCGGCAUUACUUGGGCCUUACCAGUAAGACCAAAUCUACCAAUCGCAGCUCUCAUUUUCUCCUCUUCGGUACCCGGGAACUCCCUCAUCAUGUAGAGAAGUGCAGGCAAUUCCAGGUCUAGCUUCUCAGCCAGAUGCUGAUGGUACUGAGCAAUCUUCAAGUGGUUGUGACGUCGCACCAUUCCUUCAGUUGGGUGCAGUUCACCAGUCAUGAGCUUCAAAAGUGUACUCUUUCCAGCUCCAUUAGGUCCCACGAGAGCGACCCUAGAGUCCAAGUCGACACCAAAGUCGAUGUUUUUGUAUAUGAGAUAGUCCGGUGUGUACCCAAAAGACACUUCCACAAACUGAAGCACUGGCGGUGGAAGCUUCCCAACAUCAGCAAAACGGAAAACGAGAACGCUGUCUCUGGCAACCUUUUCAGUGAGCCCACCUCUCUCCAUCUUUGCCAAUGUUUUCUCCUUACUCUGUGCUUGACGAGCAAGUUUGGCUGAACCGUGACCAAACCUAGCAAUGUACUCCUUCAUGUGAGAAAUCUGCUCCUGCUCCCAUCUGUAUUGUUUCAUCUGAUUCUCUUCUAGCUCAGAACGAGUCUGGCAAUACUGAUCAAAGUUACCAGUGUAGUACUUGAGCUGCUUGCUCUGCAUGUGGAUGAUGUUUGUACAAACUCCAUUCAAGAAAUCCUGCGAGUGUGAUACCACAACAAGGAUGCGAUCAAAGUUCUUCAGGCUCUCUUCUAACCACACACAAGCUUCCAAAUCUGUUUCAGGAAUUACAGUCAGCAUAAGAACAUAACACUAAAGAAAACCAUCUGAAGCAAGUUACAAGAAGAAAGAUCACCAACCUAAAUGAUUUGUCGGCUCAUCAAGCAAAAGGAUAGUUGGCAUUAUGAAGAGAGCUCUUGCUAAUGCAAUUCUCAUCCUCCAACCACCGGAAAAAUCUUUCGUCUUCUUAGCUUGCAUUUCCUUGUCGAAACCAAGUCCAAACAGAAUUUCAGCAGCACGCUUCUCAGCGGUUGCAGCAUCCAUGGCUUCUAACCUCUCAUAGAUAGAUUCAAGACGCUCGCCACCAGCAUCCUGAUAAAAACAACCAUAAUAAGCAUCAAGCACGAAUAUAAAGCUCAAUUUAGAAUCCAAUCUAGUAUUGAUUGACACAAACCUGCUCAACAAGAAUUUCAACUUCCUUCUCCAACCUCAACCUCUCUUCAUCACAGCUAACAACAGCCUCAAGGGAGGACAUGUCAGUAGCUUCAAUCUCGUGAGAAAGAUGAUAGAUAUCCAUAUGAUCCGGAAUCGGUAUCUCUCUGCGUCCGAUUGCAGUUAAAAGAGUGGACUUUCCACAACCAUUCAACCCAAGCAGACCAUAACGCCUUCCAUAGUUAAGCUCCAACAUUGAAUCAACAAUAAGGUCAUAACCAUGAAACGUCACAGACAGAGAUUCUAUCUGCAAACAGAUUAUAAACCAAUUCCAUCAAAAAAACAGAGGAUACAAAAUAUAAGCAAUCAAACUAAUGAUUCUCUAAAUAAAUAUUCACAGAUCAGAGGGCACAAAUCUAAAUUUCCAAAUCAAAUCACAGAAACCAGAUAAGAGGACUUACUCGAAUAUCCCUAGAUUGGGGAUGAGAACAGAGAACUCCGGUACAAGUCCGAUCAGAAAUUUGAAGAGCGUCGACACCGCUCGACAAGCUAUCAACUCCAUUGGAGGAAGUAGCGGCGGAUUUAGAAGAAGCAGCAGCUUUACCACCUCUUUUAGCGGCGGCGGCGGCUUUCUUUUGAGCUGCCUUCUUCUUGCUAGCGUCAGACACCAUCUUCAAAUAUCUCCCUGAGAAACAAAAAAAAAAAAUCAAAUCCAAACCAUGGAGAAUACGAAACAGAUCGUGGAAUCAACAAAUCGUGGAAGAGGAAAUAGUAAAAAAUUUACCUGAGAGAUUCGGGAGAUCUGUAGAUCUAGGGUUUUCAGCAGAAGACAAGAGUUCGGCAAAAAUUAGGGUUAAUGGUGGUUUCUGUUGACGCGAGGCGGAAGAAUCGGUAUUUAUAAGAGACGAUUGUUCUGGGUGUGCCACGUGUACGGUGACACUGAGUUUGCUUUCUAGAUUUUCAGUUGCGUAUCAGAACACAACACACCUACUUCACUUUGGUCGGUCCCGAAUAAUGUGCUUCUUUUAUAUGGGCUUUAAAUAUCAAAGGCCCAAUAGUAGCUGGUAAAGAUCCAGAAGUGAAGAAUUGUAAGCCCACGGCUUUUUCUUAGGUCGUCUUAUAUAUUCUUCCAAUGAUUCGGACUUGCAACUAUAAUAUAGGCUUGUUUUUGCAAACUUCUUUACAAUCAACAAAAUAAUCUUAUUUGGGUCAUUUGAGAAAGAAAAAAAAUCAAUAAACAUAAACAAAAAAUUGAGGUAUAAGUGUUAGUAAUAGAUAAUUUUUGGGCUACUAGGUUGGUUUAGGAAAUGUUUUGGGAACUCUAAACCAAGACGCUACAUUAAUUUGGUUUUAUUGUUUUGUGAAUGAAAAUGUUUGGUUUUAUUGUUGUAGUUCAAGUGACUUUUUUCACAUGUGCUUUGCAUAUUUGUUGCAGUCUACAGUCUUGAGAAUCCACGCAUAUGUAAGUAAGAAACUCAUCCAUGAUGAUGAACAUGAUAUUGAUAGGUCAUAUCCAUUAAAUUCUAUCAGCUUUUGUGUUCUAUUUGAUGUUGUAGAUAGACUGUAGAAUUAAUGUAGGUAUUCACGAGUAUACAAGUUGAAUAGUUAUUCUUGUAAACAGAAGAAAAGCUGAUUCGACUUGGAAGUUGAAGAUCUCCUAGUAGAUGGAAUGUUCACUCGAUGAGAUGUAUCAGAAAGAUCUUCAUCAUUUCUUAAACUUUGUAAUUAAUUUUUCCAAAUGCCUUACGCAAUUUUGUAAGUUAGAUAUGUGUAUUUUGAAUUUAUAUUGUAAUGUUUGCCCCCAAAAACAAAAUUUCGUCAUGACUAAAAAAAAUACAGUUAGAUUUAUCUCUGGCUAAUUGAACUUAAACCAAAAAAAAAUUGAAAUUAUUUAUAGCUUAUUUCAUCUAGAAUCAUAAAUAGAGAAAACCAACUAAAAACAAAAGACUUGAGUUAUUGACCUGUAAUAUUUCAAGUCAACUUUACUCGUCUGGUCUGUGAGGAAGAUUCAACGAAACCGUCAAAUGAGUUAUGUCUCCGUAAGAAAAAUAAUGUUUUCAUAUUGGAUUUUGAAAUUUGUUUUCCAAGGAAGAAGAAACUUCUUCGACCUUAUCCUCAUUCACUCAUUGCAAAAGAAGUUUGGAAAUUAGUGUAUAGAAGAAAUCAAAUCAAAUAGAAAUUUCACAAAGUACCGAAGCUGAGAAAAAAAAUGAGAAGAUGAGGAAAGAAAAAAAAAGGCAAAGCAUUGACUCCUAGAAAGGCUAAAUGUCUUUCUCUUUUUCCUUUUUCAUUGUUGUGGACCUCAUUAUUACCUCCUUGUGCAAGAAGGUGUUGUUGUGAAUAGAGCCUAUGUUUUGUGUACUUAUGAGUUAUUAUGUCUAUAGACAUUGAUCAAAUUUGUUUAUAAAUGAUAAUAGUUCAAUCGAUAAUUUGAAAUUUAUUUCUUUAUUGACCACUGGUUUGAUAUGAUGGAUGAUAUAAAUCCUAAAAUGAUAAAUAUAAAUAAAUAAAUAUAUAUAUAUAUAUAUAUAUAUAUCUGAAUAUUGUAAAUGUAGGGUAAAUAGAUCUCUAAUAUUGUAAUGUGUUUUACAUUCCAUAACUAAAUGGCUAUGAAAUGGAACUUAGUAAACUUUUAUGUCAUCAUGGUCCAACAAAUCCAAAGAUCUAUAUGGUCCAACAAAUAGGACUAAACUCAAGAUAGAUGAGUCAAUUUGAGACAUAUCAUAUUGAAAACAUUUGGAAAUAGACAUACCAAAUAAGUUUUUUGCAAGGCCAUAAGUUUUCUUUAUUAUCAAUUGAUUUUUAAGAUUAAAGUUUAAAAACAUUUUUAUUAUUCAUAUCAAAGGAAAGCAACACUCGCUUUUGGAUUUGGUAAAAGCAUAGUAAUUUAAUUUUUGCAUAGUACUGCAUGUAAAAUGAUAAUUUAUAUGAAGAAAGUGCUUCAUGAAAACAACAAAUUAUAUAUGCAUGGAAUAAAGAAUCCUCGAAUAUUCUGGCCACAGUUUCGUUUUUUCUUGUUCUAUCCGAAUUAUGAUUUGCAUUAUAAAUCAAUAACAUCUUCCAGUGUGUUUUUUCUCCUUUUAUUUUCCCCUUUUUCUUUAUCUUUUUUUGUUCUUCUUCUUUUCUCUUUUAUCUUUUAUCUUUUUUUUUUUUAUGGUCUUUUGGUCCACUUUUCUUGGCAUGCCCUACUAAAGCCCACGUGGUAAGAACCAACGACAAUCAUCAAGCCUAUGCAACAAAAAAAAAAUACCAAGGGAAUCAUUUUAAUCCCUAAUUUAUUUUACUUUUAAAAAAAAAAAAUAUUAUCAAUUUAUCAUAACUAACCCAUUUGAAUUUUGUAAAAUAUUUUAGUCAUUUCAUUAACCAAAAUGUAUCAUAAAGAACGACCUCUUGUUUUGCAACUAACUUUAAUUAUUGAUACAAAGAUGUAAAUAGGAAAAUCAUGUGUCUUCUUCGUAAACUAUUUUCUUAUUUCUCUCGACCAAACUCUUCUUAUAUCAGCAAACAAUAAUUGAUUUAGUGAGUUCCUUUGGAUUAUAACAUUCUUUCUUGCUUUACCAUUUUCAACUAAUCUAUAGAAUUUAAUUUAUUUCCUACCAUGUCCGAUUAUACAAAUUAACCAUGAUAUAAACAAUGUGAAUGAAUCUUCAAAAUGUAGAAUUAGUAGUGGGACUUUGUAAGUCGGAAUGACUAGGUCUACUAAACCACCACUAUAUUUAGUUUUUUUUUUGUGUGUUCAAUCUCAAUUUAAAAACUACGAUGUACUUUGGAAUACAAAGAAAGCUGCUUAUCAAGUUUACUUUUCGACAACUAUAGCUUAAUUAACGGAUAUGAUAAAACUUUUUUUAUUUUUGUAAAGUGGAAAAAGGUUUCCUACAAAAAAAUAUUCUAGACAUUAUUUUAUUUUAAGAAAAAAGGAUAAAGAGAAUGAAAUUUAUGAGCGUGUUGAAAGCUUUAUUAGUUACUUUUAUAUGAUUUAUCUAUAAAUCCAUUAGUUUCCUCGAACUCGAAUGUAACUUUCCUAGAAAAGAAAGUUGGAACUUUGAAACUAACAUGUAUGAUGAUCAUCAUGAAAAAUCAUGAUGAUGCAUGAAGCACCCCGUAUCAUGAUCACAAAUUCUCAAACACAUGUUCAUGCAUGUAUUACUAGUUAAUUAAUAUUGAACGAGAUGUCGCAUCAAACGCACAUGCACAAUAAAAACAUGAAUACGACGACUAUAUUGAUGUUAAUAUAAAUUUCUUAUUAAUGACUAUUUUUAUACAAUAAAUAAAUAAAUAAAUUUUGGCUUUACGUUACCAUUAAAGAGUAAAAGGAAAUAAAUAGUAAUGUGAGCAUUGAUGUCAUGGGUUGGCAUUCACUAUAUGUUGACUUACCUAUCGAAUUCGUUCUCAUAUAAACUAAACUUCUUUUUUUGACCAAAACAAUGCUAAUUUAAUUUGAUUUUCACCUGUAGUUUACCAGAUAAAGAGCAAGUAUAUAGUACCAAAUAUACUAACCUUGUAUGAAUUUAAAAUGUAGGUGUAUAUAUGCCUUAGCUAAAUCUAGAAAUAAAUCAAUAGAUUUUUAGUUCAAUAUAGUCGGCUUAAUAUAUGUUAAUUAAUAAGAACUGAAUACUAACGAAAUUUCGUCUUUUAUGUUAGCAACAACACUCUUAAAAUAGUUUCAUAUCCAUUAUUAUUAGGUUGUUGCUUUAUUUCUUAAUUUGUUUUCUCGAAUCGGCAAUGGUUCGAUUCAUAUAGUCAUAUACCCUCCACCGUUGAUUUCAUAUAUUAAAUUUCGUGUUUUUAUAAAUAAUAAAUUAAUAUAAAGUACAUGAUGUACUAGUUUAUAUGGACUCAAAUGUGUCCAAAAACUUAGGAAUAAUAUAUUAAAACAGUAACAACUUACAAGACGGGAGAGGGCCGGGCAUGAAGCAGAGGAAAAGAGAGGACUCCCAUCCAACCAACUGGCUCAAAGUUUCGUAAAGACACGGACACACUAUUUUUUCAAAACCCUAGCUUUAUCACCAACUUGAAAAAUAACAAAAAAAGGGGGUUAUAAAUUUAUAAUUCGAUCUGUAACAUUAAUCAGGAAAGAAAGUAGAGUGCUCAUAGAGUUUCUAUGUAAUUUAUGGUAAAGUUGUAUACAUAUUAAUGUAUAAUUGGCCACAAAAUAAAGUGUGAUUGGAGACAACAGAAAUUUCCAAUCAAGUGAGUGGUGGGAAAGAAGAAACUACGUAAGCUAAAUUUAUUACUAAGGCAAAAAAAGACGAGAAUGGUAGUGUAGUAGUUAUAUGAUUAUGCAUUUAUUAUGUACUUUUGACUAAGCAUUUAUGGACAUUCACCAUUGCGCUUUUAAUUUUAAUAGGUAUCCGUAUUGUCAUUAUUUGGUAAAAUUAAUACUCUGUAAAACUUUUAUAGGCCAAAAAAACUGUGCACAUAGUGUAGUACAUAGACACCACAAGACUCAACUUUUGUUUGUAUACAAGUGAAUAAAAAAAAGCUUGGUUGUUUAUAGUAAAAUACAUUCGAUUGACUAAUUCGUGAUUAAUGCAGAGAAACCAAAAGAAUUGCUUACUAAUUGUAGUGCUCUGUUUAUGACCUGUUUCUAAAUAAUUGUUUAUGUAAAUGUAGUAAAGGACUCUAAUAUACUACAAUGUAAUACAACCGUUGGUAGCUUAGUUCUGUGUAUUGGACGAAUUUGUUGAGAUUUUAUUCUCGAAUGUCAACAUUCACUUGGAGGGGACCGAUAUGGUUCUAAAUUUAUAAGGCCCCAAAUUGUUACUAGUAUUAUUUUUCUUCAGAUUUAACAAUGUAUAGUUCUCACUUCUCAUUACCAUUGUCAACUCUCAACAUGUCAACGUUUGAAUGUAGCCCGAUUAGUAUAAAAUACAUCAUAUUGGUUUUUCUACAAUCAAUUUAACUAAACUUAUUUUUAUUUAUUCCCAAUUAAACUAGACAAGGAAAAAGAAAAUAUUAAAUCUCUUUGGAUAUAUUUGCAUGUUUAAACUUUGAAGUGGAGUAAUUAAAUAUGCCCAGCUAGAUAAACCAAAAAAGGGAGAAAUUAAAAACUAAAACCGUAGCAGAAUCCCAAGAAGAAAAAUACCAAAAAUACCCCCAAAGAUUAUGGCUUAUUUACAUUCUCUACCACUUUCCAAUUUCUCCGCCGCCGCUUCACAUAACAACACAAGCAUUCGGAUUCUCAUCGCUAAAAAUCUGCGGCGCGUGGGCUUGAAUCGGGUAUCCAUAAGGCCCACCCGGAUAAUACCCGUACCCGUAAGCAGGCUGAGCCGCCAUGUACUCCAUCAUAUUCACUCCCUCACCACCUCCUUUGUUACCGGAUUUCUCCUUUCCACCACCGUCUCCGCCGCCACCUUUCUUCUUCUCGCCAGUUUCGUUACCAUUUUCUUUCUCUUUCUUCGGCGGCACAAUCUCAACCUGACGUUUCAGCUUCUCACUCAAACUCUCAACGAGUUUUUUAACAUCCAUUGUUCCUUUAACAGUCACCAAAUUCUUCUCUUUAUCCAUUGUUAAACCAUCAACACCUGCGCUUCACAAAAACGCUGUUAGCAAGCAAACGAAGCGUUGCCCCAAAAUUGCGUUUUGAAAACGCGAAUCGUACAGAUUUGUCUCUAACCUUUGGUUUUUGUGAUAGUCUUUUGGAUUUUCCCGAUACAACCUUGACAAUGGAAGUUCAGCUUCAAUACCGCCGUUGUUACCGGAGUCUAUAAUAAUCAUUACAAAAUUAGUUGUAAUCAGAAAACAAAGAAACAUCCUCACAUUAUACUAAUCAGCAAACAAAAAAACAUUUUGAGAAUCAGAUUCUUCACAGAUAAAAACAAUAUAGUAAAAACUAAAAAGCAAAGAGAUUUGAUUAUUUAUUUUUGGCUACCUCUUUGGGUUUCUUCUCGUUGUUGUCUGGUUUCUUCUUCUCCUCUGAUUUUUUUUUGUCUUCAUCGUUUUUGUUUUUGUCCUUAUUGUUCUCUUUCUCUUUUUCCUUUUUGGGUUGAGGAGAAACCAAAUCGACUUUCUUCUUUGUCUUCUCUUCAAGUUUCUCCCUCAGUUUCACCGGAUCUAAAGCUCCGGUCACCGUAAGUUUCCCUGUAGCCGACUCCGAUUUCACCGUCUCAACACCUAAAAGACACAUUUUUCAGUAACUCAACCCAACAAAGUAGCGAUUUUCCGAAAACCCAGUAACAGAUUCCGUGGAAUAAGGAUUUUACAACGUUCUGAAUAUGAAAAAUGGAAACUUUUUUGGUAAAUAAUGAAAAAAAUCAAACCUUGGAAAGAACGAACACAUUUGACGAUUCGAGAAGCACAACCUUCACAAUGCAUGUCGACCUUCAAAACGACGGUGAUUGACGGCGUUUCGUUCUUUUUCUUGUUAUCUCCACCUUUCUUCUUGUUAUCUCCUUCGUUCUUCUUCUGCUCAGAAACAAAACAGAGUGAGCAAACGAAACCCAUUAUUAUCCAAAUAAAAAGCAGAGAUUUUUAUGGAGGAAAAACGAGAGAGAAGAUUCGAGAAUGUUGAGAGAAGAGAGCGUUUUUGACUCAGUAGUACCUCGCCCAUGAUGACUCGGUUAGUGAGAGAGUAGUGGGAGAAGGAAGUGGGUAGAGAAAGAGUCGGAGGAAAUGGGAGAGAAAGAUGAAACCUUUCGUUUGUAUUUAUAGUCUUUAACGAAAAUAAUUAUUUUUGGAGUCGGUUAUGAUUUAUGAUGAUGAUGAUGAUGAUGAUAAAUGAGUAAAUGACCAUUCAUCAUGUAUGUUGUAUGCCUAUGAUGGUUUUGGUUAUACAUACGUUUUUGUUUUGUUAUUAUGAUGACUUUUCUGUUAAUGCGACUGUACGUUACAUUUUUUUUUUUUUUUUUUGAUAAACCCUAUCGGCUAUCCGGUCGGCCCCGGUAGGAACACACCGUGGUGCUACAUAGUGGACUGGUCCACCGUGUUAACGGUUAGGCCCUUACGGGCUACCACUCUGUCUAUCCCGAGUUUGGAAUGCCUUCCGACUAAGUUUAUGGUUUGUUACAUGAUUUUAUGGUUUCGGCGUAUAUGCUACGGUCGAAUAUUAAUUUACAUGUAAUUUGAAAAUAAAUAAAAUCAUACAAUUAUCAGUAUCUCAAUUUGGAAGAGGGUAAGAAAACAAUCUCUUCUUUUUCAUAAGUGUUGUCUCGUUCUAAAUUGCCUACAUAUUUUUAUAAAAUUUCCAGACACAGCUAGUUUUUGGUUUUUCGGUAUUUGAGACGUAAACAUUUUUGAUGAAUUGAUGAAGCUCAAAUGCUUACAUAUAUGUUGUUGUUACGUAUCAAAAUUUAAAAGACUUCAUUCAAAUUAACCAAUGCACUUGGUUUUUGAUCGUUUCACAAAAGUGAUACUACGGGCCUAGAUAAGCCCAAAUUGAAAAUAUAUUUGAAGUGUAGAUCAUUUAGUGGGCUGUUGUAAAUUAUUUGAACAGAGAUAUUAGUUUGAGUAUAUAGGCUAAUGGUAUCUCUAUCUCUUUUUCUGCUCGGUCCAUUGUAUAUACGUAAAGAUAAUAGUUGGAUUGAUGCAGAAACAAGAAAAAUCAAGUUGAUAUAAAGUAUCUUGUUUUUUUUUUUCUUUUAUAAUAGGCAACUAUAUUCUUUUAUGAUUUUAAUCUCGUCUAUAAUUAAAGUCUACUUCAGAACCGCAAUGACAACCAUCAUGUAGAUUACAAUAAUCCAUAUACCUGUUUUGUGCAACCAAACAAUCAAAUCGACACAUUGCACAUCUACUACCAGGAAAAUCAGUAUCCUCGUUCUCUGCAUGAUACAUGGAUGGUGGAAUUUGAGGGCUUCCUACAUGGUUAGAAGGAGUUUUUCUUUCUGAAUUACUUUUCUCCAUAACAUCUGAUACACCUAUUAAAAAAAUUAUUUUAAAUAAACAUCAUAUAACUAAAUCAAUAUAUGUACUAUUGAAAAUACAUGAUAUACGCAAUCUCUUCAAUUUAAUCGUGAUAAACAAACUUACAUGAUGAAACAAGAAAUAAAAGAGUAAAAAACAAAAAGAUUGUCCUCAUUUUAUUUUAUUUGGGAAAUUUAUUAUAUAUUUUAGACAGAAAAAGAAAUCGCUUGUCGUUUUAAGUUUUGAACUAGAUUUGAACCCGCGGUACACCGCGGGGCUAUAUUUUUUUUUAAAAAUUAAAAUAUAAAUUAUUUUCUUUAUUAAUAAAGAAAAAUAUAGCCCCGCGGUGUACCGCGGGUUCAAAUCUAAUUUAUUAUAUAUAAUCCAAAAAUGUUUAGAUUAAUUUCUAUAAAUAUUUGUAUUGGCCGUCCACAGCGGCAAGCAGAGAGAGAGACUCAACGUUUUCGACUUUUCGUUACAACAAAACUUCGAAACGCAGAAAAUUAUCCACAAAAAAAAAAAAAAACGUGAAACGCAGAGGGCAAAAAAAAGCGAAUGAAUUAACGCCAGUCCAGUGCCACGUAUGAAAAAAGCUUAGGACCAGAUACGUUAAUCAGAAAAAAAGACCAGGUACGUAAUUUUUUAAAAGGCCAAGCACGUUAGUCCAGCCCACGUGGUAUUUCUUGUCUUAAAACAAAAUUAAUUUAGUAAUCGGACGUUGCAGAGGUAAUCAGAUCAACGGUAGAGAAUUACGACACGUUAUAUCACUCUGCGCAAUUCCACCGCUUUCUGGAAUUAAAAAAAAGAAAGUGUAUAUAAAUAAAAGAGCAGAGGUAAAGCUAUCUAUCUCCAGAGUAGUGUAGAGAGAGAGAGAGAGAGAGCUUCUUUCUUCUCAGAUCUUCGAUUAAUCUCUGUAGUUUUGCGAAUUCCAAAGUAGUGAAUCUCGGAAUCCAUCUGGUUUUAUUCUUGAAUCUUGUAAUUUUAUUCUCGAUUAGAACUGUGAAUAGAAGAUUUCAUCACAAAUCGUCCAUAACCCCAAAUCCAAACGAUUCUAUGUAUGGAUCUAAGGUAAAAUCUGCAAAUCUAUCUUAUUUACUUUUUAAAUCGAUCCCAAUAGAGAACAGAUAUGUUCAUUUAUACUUUUCGUUUCCGUUUCUCUAUCUACGAAUCCCUUAAUCGAUUAGCUAAGUUAAGGGAUAAUUUAUGAUUAACAUGUUUAUAACUUUUCAUUGAUGAUGUAGUUCGAUAUACGUUUUCCUGCUCUACCAUGUUCGAUUCUUAGUGUUGAUGCUAUGGAUAUUAGUGGAGAACUGCUUUGUGACGUGGUAUGUUUGAAAUUGUUCACUGUCUUACUCCAUUGACAAUUUUUGUGUUUGAAACAUGUUUAAGCUUGUGCAAUGUGUGAAUUACAGAAACAUGAUAUUAUAAAGAGAAGAUUAGAUUCAAAUGGCAACACUUUAAGAGGCAAGACAUGACGUAAUAGGCGCUACUAAGGUUUGUUCUCUGUCUUUCUGAACUGGAUAAUCUGUGAUUUUUAAAAUGGAAGAUUGAAACUAUUUCGGUAUGCUUUUCAUUCUAUUCUUUAGGAUUAAGUGAAAGGUCUGAUUCAGUUAGAGUAUUGUUUGCUUUUUCUGAUCUUAGAAGUGUUCGGUUUCAUUGUCCAUGGCUUGUUUGUUAUUAUGUUAAUUUGAUGAUUUUUUUUAAAAUCUCUUCAAAUUAAGUCUCUGAAGUUGGGACAGAAGAACUGAGUCUCUGCAAAACUGAGUCUUAACAAUUACAUCGUACGAAUUAACUAUUUGUGUAUCUAUAGUUAUAACUCGAAUUUUAAAAAACUUUGAUUUUGAAACUGAACCAAUUUAAUUUAUUUUUAUAUAAUUGGAAAAGAAAAGCAUGUUGAUCUUUGUUUUAAAAAAAUAUACACGAAGACAUAUCUAUAAAAUUGAAUUUUAUGUUAAAAGGAAGAGUAUAGUUGUAUGAUGUCUAAAAUAAAAUAAAAUAAGUAUAUUAAUUACAACCUGAGUUGGUUGCUAACGUGUGACCUGCAUGAGUGUUAUAAAAAAAAGAAACAUAUUACUUAGUGAUUGUUUGAAUUCGUAACCAUAUUGAAAUUACUAAGACAUAAAGGUAAAGUGAAUUUACCUUUCCAGAUGAUACAUAGCAAAGACUGACAAUAUUUGAGUCAGUUGAUGUUUUGAAAAACCUCUUUGAAAACAACAUUUGUUGUUUGGUUUUGAAUCUUGCCCUCUUUGUCGAGUAUUAGAAUUUUCAAUCCCGUUUUAGAGGUAACCCUUGACAACGCAACAUAAAGUUGACCAUGAGAGAACACGGGUUUAGGCAAGUAAAGUCCAACUUUCUCUAGAGAUUGUCCUUGGCUCUUAUUGAUGGUCAUAGCAAAUGCAACAGAAAGUGGAAAUUGUCUUCUGCGCAUCUUGAAUGGCAGCUUGGUAUCUGAAGGUGUAAGGAGGAUGUUAGGGAUCAAAACUAUUUCACCAAUUCUGUCUCCUGUGAUUACUCUAGCUUGCACAAUAGUAUUGCCUAGCUGAGUAAUCUGAAGCCUAGUGCCAUUGCACAGCCCACCUUUUGGAUCAAUAUUCCUAAGCAACAUAAUCGGAGCUCCAAUCUUCAAACGUAAAGCAUGGUGUGGCAAACCAGAAAGCUUGAUACUAUUUAAAAAAUCUGGAGUGAUUACAGGAUUGUUCAAUGAAUCCGAAUCUGAUGGAUCAAUACUAUCAGCACUUAGGUAGAUUCUUUCGUCACCUACAAUCAAAUAAUUACAUCAACGUGUACUUAGCUAUAGGUUUUUUUUUAAAAUUGAAAACGUGAUAUAGAUUUGUGGGUAAAAUAGAUGACUUACUUUCCAAAUGCUCUAGCAUAUAUUGGUUUAUUGUGUUGACGUCAUCAUUGGUUGGUGCCAAAAUAGCUCUCCUUUGGAAGAACUUAGGAUCAGUGAUUGUGUGGAGUUGUGAUGGUUCUCCAUAAAUUGCCUUACUGAUUGCUUCUAUUGGUUUUUCUGCUUCUGUAAUCAACAAUUCUUCUGGAAUAUCGAUAAGUGCCUCACCAUCAUUAGGUUCAUUAACUCGACCAUCACCAACAGCCAAUAACCAAUCAGAAAACUCUUGAAUAUCUUUAGCUUCAACAGCACUUAAAUUAUCUGCCAGCAGUCGCAUGUUCUUUGUCAACUUGAGCACCUUGCAGUGAUCCCAAAGAUACGAAGCAUUUAGUGAUGACAUGACAAUUUCUGCCCUCCCUGCCCCAUGUAUUACCGGAAGGACUUGUCUGAAAUCACCUCCAAAUACAACAACCUUACCACCAAAGACUUUGUUUUCUCUAUUCUUGAUAAUAUCGCACAAGCUCUUGUCCAAAGAUUCAAAACAAAACCUGCUCAUCAUUGGCGCUUCAUCCCAGAUAAUAAGAGAUGCUUCUUUUAUCAAAUUAGCAAGAUCAGAUUUAGGUUGGAUUUUGCAAACAGAAAAUUCGUCAGGAUUCAAUGGUAUUGCAAACCUUGAAUGUGCAGUCCUACCACCUUCUAACAACAAAGACGCGAUGCCACUGGAGGCGACAUUAAGAACAAUCUGUCCUCUAGAUCUAAUUGCAGCUGAUAGUGUCUUCCAAAGAAAAGUUUUUCCCGUUCCUCCAAAUCCGUAAACAAAAAAGCUUCCACCUAAAUCAUUAAAAACAGCACCGGUGAUCUCAUCGUAUAUAGCUCUUUGCUCAGCUGUUAGCUUUUGUAUACACUCUGCAUGCAAUUCUUCCAAGUCGGAUUCACGAUUAUAUCUCAGCUCAUCAACAAUUAAACGGUUGGAGUUAUCAAUUCCUUCUCUGGAAGGCUGCGGGAAAUUAUCAAUACCUUGGAGAGUUCCACCAUUAAACAACAUUAUCUUCUCUAUUUCUUGAAGAGUGUAAUUCUUAAUUUCAGCUUCUGUUAGAUUUAAAUCUGUAACGUCAUCAAAGAGAGGUAGGACGAAUUAGUGGAGAAAGAAGAUAGUAUGGAAAAGUUAGAAUAAUGUAAAUAACUAUGAUGACAAUCACACGUAUGGUUACUUAAACAAUUCUUACCUGGAUUGUUAAAAUCUUGUCUCUUCUUUCUCUCAAUAUCCUCCGAUAAAAGCUGCCACGUUUCUGACCAUACGUGUUCCGGUCUGCAAGAGACUCCGAUAAAAUCAACGGACCGAGUCGAUUGCCAGAUAAUCUCCAAAACAAAACUGAGCUGCUUCAUGUAGACCGUCGAUAAAAACUUGAUCGUCGUCUAGAAUUCCACGUGCAAAACAUGCUUCUUUGUAUGAUGGAUAUACAACUCCAUUAAAUGUUUUGAUAUCAUCGUAACUCAUAGGACCUCUUACUAAGUUUAGAAGCACCCUAAGAUAGUACUCAUCUUCCAUCUUUCUAGGGACGUAGUUAAUACGACCCAAAGAAAAGCCUUUUGAUCUCUUUUUCCACUGCUUAUUUUUUCCAUCCCAAAUAAAAUAUGCCGGGAUUUGCGAAUAUAAAAGUUCUCGAGCACGUUUACCAUUUUUUCCAAUAGCAUCUUUCCUAUUCAAAGUCAACCAAGCCAAGAACAUUGAAUCUUCAUUGCUUAUACGUUCGAGAACCUCAUCAAUCUGAGCCUUUGGAUCGAAAUAAGCUGGUUGUUUCCCUUUGUCAUGGAAAGAUAAUCUCUGGACUGCGGUAGAUCUAUGCUGAAGUGGAAACUUGUAAAUCCUCCAAAUUGCCUCUGACGCUGAUACAUAUCUGUAAAAAUAGAAUUUCAAAAGGGAGCAAAUUUAAUAGUAAUACACUAAAAAAAAAGACAAAUAUUGUAUGUAUGAAACUUACCUACAGUCAAACCAAUCUUUGAUUUCAUUCUUCUUUUUCUCACCACUACUUGGCUCUACUCCAGUAGUGGUAGCUUCAGUUGUUGUACCCUGAUUUACUCCAGUAGUGGCAGCUUCAGUUGUUGUCGCCUGAUUUAUAGGCUCAACAAUAAAGACAACACGAUCCGGACCUUUGUUAAUAUACUUAAAUAAGUAUUUGAUGGAACCAUUCUGAUUGCACCAUUCGACGUUGAUAUGAGCUUGAUAUCGAACUGAAAGCUUCUUGUUGUAAGGCACAACAUAAGUAUUAUCACAUUUAAAACCUCCUUUCUCAACGUAGUCUUCUGUCUUCCUUCGUCUAUAGACGGGAUAACCAUCCUUACCAACCUUGGUAAUAUCUUGAUGUUUUUUCGGAUAUUGCUUUGAACAUUCACCAUCUACCAUACAUGGGGAAUUCUUGUUUGCUGCACCGCAUGGUCCGUGGAUCAUAGAAUUCUUGAUUACUUCAUAUAGCUCUGGUUCUUUCUCUUUAUCAGGAAUCUCUGCGCAAAUGAUCUUAUCGAUGUCGUCAGCUGUUGGUAGUUUGCUUUUGGCAUCCAUGAAUAAGAGAAUAUGAGCAUGUGGUAGUCCUCUUUUCUGAAAUUCAACAGUAUACAUAGCUGCAAUAAUACAAACGAAUAAUAAUUAGGAUAAAGAAAUAUAAAGUAAGAUUAAUUUAGAGUAGAGAAUUAGUUGACGAAAUGAUUAAAUACUUACAUGCCACUGUUUUCCCAAGCAUAUUCUUUUUUGUUAAAUCUUCCAUUAAAGAAUCCAACUUGAUUUUGAAAAUCCUUGCAACAAUAUCCGGUCGAUCAUCUGCAGAUAGACCUCUUUCUUGGCAGUAUCUAGUUAUCUCAGGCCACUUUGGAUUACAUGUAAACGUGAUGAAUAGGUCGGGAAAACCGUAAUGCUUACAGAUGGCCAUUGCAUCAUAGUAGCUUUGAACCAUAUAUCGAGGUCCACCAGUGAAAGAAGAUGGAAUUAAAAUUUGAUUACCUUCUUCAUUCAUAUUUGUUGUACCUGAUUCCGCAGCCUUUUUCAAAGAGCUAUAGUUCUCACAUCGUAGCUUAGACUGAUUAAACUUGAUAUAAGAGAGUCUGUUAGAUUCAAUAGUUGUAUAAGCAUCACAUAGAAACUGCUGAAACAACCUCUUUGAACGUAGCAAAGUUUUACACUCAUGUUCCCUCUCUUGAAUCCUGAAUGCAAACCAUUGUCUCAUGCUAAUACACUUCUUCUUCUUAUUGUUGGUUGUCUUAUAACAUUUCUCUAUACCCGGCCUGUAACCAUCUUCACCAUAGCACAAAAUUAGAGGAUAUUGUAGAGCCAAAUAGGAAAUAUGAAUUUGGCUAAUCCUCGUUAGGUGACCAGUAGUCUUUUCUUGAAGUACUAUAUCACGGUCAUACAUCUUUUUAUGAAAAUCCCCAGGGAUUAAAGCGGCUACCUCAGAUGAUGAAGGCAUACUGUAUGUCCUCCCAUCAACACCCUUGCGAUCAGCAACGAUACGCAUGUGAAACGGCUCAUCAUUAUCAGACUGAAUCCUCUCUCUGGCGGCUCUGAAUUUUUCAACAUAAGGGUUAACUUCGUCGAGCAUUUUCAUUAGUGCUUCAAUUACUUCUUUUUUCAGUUUCUGUUUUCCUGAUGUUUGGUUUGAAUUUUUCCCCUUGCUGCAUAGAUAGGAAAUAACAAAAGUUAAAUUAGCAGAUUAGAGUGAAAUUAAAGUUUGCUGCAAAUAAAGUGAAAGAAGAAUGAUUACUUGAUGACGGUAGCUCUGUUUUCUACUUCGUUUUCUGUAUCAACUAUGUAUAGUUGUGAGUACUUAGCAUAAUCACCUGGAUUAGGUUUUAAACUACCGAUCAAAUGGUAGUUUCCACCUUGCAAACGAAACAUGUUAGGCCCUUUACCUUUUGGCAUAGACUUGUCCACUCUUCCACCAAGGGAAGUCAUUGCAAAAAUCAUAUUAUAUAAUCUUAUAUUCUCUCUGAAAUUUCUGCUUAGUGCGUCAUCACCUGUAAGAAGCUUUAUGAUAAGCUCAGGUGAUUCUUUAAGAAAAGGUAACUUAACACUGCCUUGCCCACAACAUAGGGUAAACGUCGGCUCCUUUUGCUUCAGAGUUUUGUUUAUUCUCUCAGCAUACCACAUAAGUGCACCACAAUACUUACAUUUGUAUGUUGCAUCACCGUGAUCAAGAUAAACUGGUGGAAAUAGAAUUGAAAGCAUUAAUUUUUAAAAUAAGAUUCAGAGAAUUAUAAUUGUUGGUACGCUCUUCAAAAAUCAUAUACCUGAUUUAUUUUGUUUGGCUGGUGCAGUUUUAGCAUUCUUAUUCAAUCUUGGCCGACCUCUUUUCUUUGGUUGAGGGAUAUUCUGAUUUGUGGCUGCCUUAUCAAUAGUUUCCUUCACUUUUUUUUCAAGCAUCGCCAUGAAUCUAACAUGUUCUUCAUAUCCUGUUCGCUGGUGUGAAAUGAUAUUUGGUCGUUCUGUUGUUUGUCCAACUACACUUUCUGGUUCAACUAUUUCGAUUGCUUCAUCAGACUCAUGAUCAGUUUCAUUGUCAGUCUGACUGAGAUAGUAGUUCUGUUCAAAAUCGGUUUCAUUGUCACUUGAACUCGCAUAGUUGUUAUGGUCCAUGUCUUCAUAAUCGCUACUAUCAAAUCUGUCUUGUUCCAUGGUGACAGAUGCUUGAGCUAGUUGAUUCAUAGUAUCAGAUUUAAUGAUUAUAGAUGAAAUUGAGUAGAUUAAUAAAUUUAAUACCUAGUAAUACAAAAUUCUAAUUCAAUAUUACCUUGAAUGUUAGGCGAGUUUGAUGCAUUUUCAAAAUCGUCUUGUAGAUUUUUCCUUGGAAAACUAUAAACUUGUGUGGUAGGCGUUGACUGUUUCUGAUUGCUUAUGCAUGAAGUAGGAGCAGCAGAUUGGAGUGCUUGACAACAAAUAGUUCAAAUCCAAUUAGAUCUCUUAGGACUUAAAGUUAUACAUUACUUUAUUUUAAUAUAAAGGGUGAAUAUUUACCUUUUGCUCUCUGAGUUGUAGAAGUACUUCCCUGCAGUCCUCGGUGUUCAUGAUGCUCAAACAGGAGAGGGACAUUGGUGAUGUCUUUGAGGACACUUCUUGAAGAUUGCUGCAAGCCUGUUAAGCAGUUUUGCUGGAACAUUGAUGCCAGCCCAGAAGCAGCACUUGAACCUGUUUUAAAGGUAAAACGUUAAGAAGAAAACUGUUCACGUGGAAUUAAACUUUUUAAGCUUUUCCAUUAAAAAUUAAGCAGCAGGUGUUAAACAGGAGAUUACCUUUCUCAGUUUGUGUUUUUUUUGUAGUAAAGGAUUGCUGCUUAACAGAUGGUGUCAGGAAAUUACAAACAGAGCUAUUACUCAGGUUGGUAAUAUCUUGCAAAACUCUACCAAAAGCUCUUGUAAGAGGAACAGAUCCAUUAUUAGUAGAUCUAUUAGCUUGAGUUAUUUGACUCUGUGGAGUAGAGCUUUGAUUGAUUCUAAUCCUUUUUGAUGGAUUAGAAUUAGAGUCGAAAUCUGAAAGAGCUGAAUCUGGUUUCUUUUUCAUGGUUGGUUGUAAUUUCAACUGAGGUUUUGAUUAAUGUGUCGACGACUGCUAGGCUUACUGAUAUACUUCUAACACAAAACCUAGACAUUAAAAGACAGAUUUUGUAGUUAUUUGUUAAUAUUUUAUUGUUGAGUCUCUGCAAAUUAUUGCUAUAAUGAAUCAUAUCAAUUAAGUAGCUAUGGUAUGUCAUAUUUUACAAUCCAUGUAUAUUUGUAUAUACUUUACAUUUAAUUUAUGACAAGUAAGCUUGGUAAAAAGUACGUUUUCCUUUGGUUUUUUAUAGAAUAAAUAAUGUUAAGUUCUUCAUCUGUAUCAGCAUGUCUAUAAUUUUUUGCAGGGAAAGCGUGGUAUAGAGAAGUAGCCGCUCCACCUUCCUGAUAUCAUUGCUGCAACCAGUUCUGUGAAAAUUAGACAGGUAUAUUGUCAAAUAUCUCAGUGUUAUGUUUGAUUUCUAAGUUUGUUAUCCACAUAUUUAGUGUGUGUGUUCUUUUCUUUCGUUCUCCAGGUUGUUAACACACAAUUGGAUCAUGAGUGAAUCUUGAUGAACAGGAGUCAGCAAACAGUGAUUCACCACCAGGUUUAAUUCAUACACGACAUUUAUAUUAUAUAAGCUAAAUAAUCACUGAAACAAAACUAAUUUUAUUGAAGCAUCAGAACUUAUAAAUAGAUGUGCUUGAAAGCAGCACUUAUUUCAAACAACUGCAGAAAACUGAAAAUAAAAAACAUAACUUUAAAAGGUUCAAACAACACAGCAUCAGAUUACUUCUUUUCUAUCUUCACCUUAACGCCCAUCAGAUUCUUUGAGAACUCACUCAAAGAAUUCGUAACUGAACCUCCACGAUCUUGACCUUCUUGUUUCUCAUCCCCAUCCUUGAUGGUAGGCUCUUUGGAUUGAGCAUCAGCCUUAGGUUUCUCAUCCCCAUCCUUGAUGGUAGGCUCUUCGAACUGAGUAGCAGCUUUCUUUUUCUCAUUCCCAUCAUUGAUAGUUACCUCUUCAACUCGAGAAACGCUGCCUCCAUCUCCAAACUCUGGAUUAGACUUUCCCAAGUCUAAGGGAUCGAUACACAACUUCUUUGAGCUUGAUGAUUGAUCUGGAGUCCCAGCAUCAAGAGCAUAAACACGCUUGGACGACGGUGUAAUCGAGUCCAUAGUUUCCUGGCUAUUCUCCAACAUGAGUGGUGCCUGCAAGAAGAAAGUUAAAUAGCUGCUGGAUUAAAUCUAUCUAAUAUCUUUGAACAGAGAUUUGAGUUUAUAGGUUACCUCAUCACCGGAGACCAUUGAUGCUGCAUUCACCAUAUCACCAGAAAAUUCAAGAAGUUGUUCUUCGAGAAGACCACCGUUCGAUAGGACCUUGAAAACCUUAAAGAUUUCCUUACCAGCCCAAAUGUGUUCUUGCUCAACACAUACCAGAAAUAGAAAAGUCUUUCCAAUAAGAUUUUUAACUGGAUCUGGUAAAUUUUCUGGGUCCACGAUCUACAAUAUAGAAGAUUUUUCAUUUAGUCAAAUGACAAUGUGUAUUACUCAACAUAUAACGAUUAAACUGUUUAGAUAUGAGACAAACUUACCUCAUCAACACUGCCAUCGAGCACAGAUGUAGCAGUUUCACCAAUGAGUUCUGAACAUAUGGAAUCAAACAUCAGCAACUUUGCCUCUCCAGUGUUGUCCAUGACUUGAGUGUAAAGCAUGAACCUGAAACGAAUAUAGAAACUGACAGAUUAAAAUUGUUCUAAAAGAAUCUGACUAAUUGCGUUUUAUAAAGUGUCUGUUCUUGAUGAAAAAAAAAAAAAGUGUCUGUUCUUUUUCAUUACCUUGAAACAACAUUUGUGACAACAGUUUUGCAAAUAUCACACCAAAAUCUUGGUUUUUUGCCUUUGUUAUUCACACCAUUCACUCCAGCAUGGAUAUGAUUAACCUUCCUAUUGCACUUGCGACAACUAAUGUAAUACCAAGCCCAGUCCGUAUCAAUGGCAUAGAGCGUACACAGAAGCCUAACCUUUCCAAUCUAGGAAAAAAUAUGGAUAACAUUAGCAUACAUGUUAAUGUAGAGUUCGUAAGAAAAAUAUACCUCUGUAGAAUUCUUCAGCUGAGAGAUUGUUUUCCUUGGAAACUCAAGAUAAUCCUCAUCCUUAACAGUUAUCAUCUGGCGUCUUGGUUGUCUCUCACGAAAACUGAGUCUUAGACCAUCAUCUGGCAAUCUAUAAAUGCAAAGAUUGAUGUAGUUAGUAUUAAAUCAGAAUUAAGUUUACAAAAUUAAAAGAAUACAAAUAGAGUAGUUAACCAUACCUUUGGGUGAAAACAGCAACUUCAUUCCAUGGUGGGUUCACGUGUACUUGAGUCACAUCAAAAGAGUUAGAUAAACCCAUAACACCUGUAUGGCACAAAAUUAUACAAAGGUUCAAUAAGUAUUUUCCUUUUAAUUAAGUAUAAGAAAAUUAUACUAAAGUAUGUACCCUUGAAGGGUUUGAUUUUCACAAAUCUUAGGAUGCAGACCACAAUCCUUCCAUCAGAAUUUUGACAGGCAUUAAAAACCUGUUCAGCAAAUUUGCCCCAGAGGGUACAUGCUAUCCUUUCAUCACUAAGAGAAAAUAAGAGUAUAUGUAUCAGUCAAAAUAGUGUAGUUCAACUUAUUGGUUCAAUAAGAUCAUAUGAAAAUAUUUAAAACACUUACGUUUCAUCGCGAAUCUCAAACUCAAUUUUGGUAGUUGGUUUGUUUUUUGCUUCGAGAUUUUCCAACUCUCCAAUAGUAACAAUCUGUCCUAUGGCAUCUGCAAAUUCAAAAUUCAGUUAUUAAACAUAAUUAAGGAUUCAACGAAACAUUACUUCAUUGCUAGUUCACGAUUUAAAAAAACACAAGAGUUGUUACUUACCGACCAAGUAUGGAUUGAGCUCACCACUUUGUAUCUUACUAAACUUUGCGAGUGUCAAAAAGUUAGAAUCUGACUUUGGUUCACAUGGAAUGAUGUUCGUCCCUGUUUGGAAUGUCAUCUUGUAGAGGUGUUGAGUAGGUCUGUAUUGUCCAGUUGCAUAGUUGAGGCCAAAAGUCUCAAUGAAGACCCACUCACCAACUUGAAGCUCAUUAACAUACUUGCUCACCAAGUCCUUCCUAACAGAACAAUGAAUUUUUUUUCCCUAUAUUGAAUAGGAAUGAAGUUUUGUUUUAGUAUAUGUACGUAGAAGGAUAAAAGUAAUUAUUUGAAAAUACGUAGUUGUAAUAUGUUUACCAGUUCGUCAGAGAAUACAAUCUCUAAUGUUUCACCGGUGGAUUCUAGGUAUUGACGCCAAGCGUGCAAAACCUUGACUUGAACCCUCCAUGAUGCCUUGUAUGGGCGGACGUCUUUGAGGAAAGCGAAGGUAGUAGCCAUUUGGAAGAGAGGAAAGGUAUGCUAAGUAUUGUUAUAUGAUUGUAAGCUCUCGGUUUUGGUGAUGGAAAAACAGGUGUAGGUGUAAAGUAUUUAUAGGAAAGUAAAUUAGGUUUCGUGUAUUCAUAGGUUACUCUCCAAAAAUAAAAACGAUGCAUAUUUUGUGGGAUACAAUCUUUGAUAUUAUUGUUUUUUUGGGAUAUGUUAGGAUCAAUUUUUUAUUUGGUAAUUAAUAUGGUUUAUAUAUUUCGUUAAUCUAGAUAGAUAUUUUAGGAAAAAAUUACUUGAAGUUCAAGUAAUGGAGUGUUUAAAUAGAAAGAGAUCUCGGCAAUCUUGGAAUGUCGACAAUAUCGGCAUUAAUUUUCGAAACACAGUAUUAUUCUUAGUUAAGUUUCAGAGAUUUUAGGAAGAUUGAAUGGAAAAUGUUGCUUAAGUAUAGUAAGUAAUUGUUUAGGUAAAUAUUUGGAGAUUGGGAAGUUUAGAUUUUAACCAUAAUUAAGAUUAUUUAAACAUUCGUGGUUUUGCGAAAGGCCUAACAAAAUUAACUUGUUUUACGAUGGGCCAAAUAUUGGGCCUUGUCCUUUCUUUCACUUAAUUGUCGAGACAGUAUCCGAUUUCUGAAUCCGGGUCGCACGUAAUUAAAAAAACCCACCCAACCAAUGGCAUUCUUUGUAAAUACAUUCCAACUCCAGGAUUUAUUUGCUAAAAGUCAUCCAAAAAUGUAUAUAUAGAUGUGAAGUUACUGAUGCCAAAUGGUAUCAUAUUUAUAUGUACUUGCAAAACGUUAUCCUUUUGGAGUAUAUUUCUGUUACAGAAAAGUUAAUGGUCUUAUUAACGGUUUUCUUAUAAAUGAUAGUUACAAAAACUAUACUCGUAAGUAAUUCUAAAUUACUGUUUAGUUUAAAACUAUUAAUUAAAUCAUAGCCAUUAGCCCAUUACAAUUAGUUAUACUGUAUAUAUAUUUUUUAUAUAUAUAUAAACACCAUUUAGAUUUAGUAAUCGAUAUAUUUGUAAUUCAAGAUGAAUGUUUUACUUUUCGUUUCCAUGUUUAAAAGUUUUUUUUUUUUGUUUCAGCCCAACAACUUUAGAUGGAUUUGUGUUGCCUAUAUCAAUCGUAAUUUUGUAUCUUAUUUAUCGAAAAAGUAGACAUAAUGAGUUCAUAAAGUGGACAUCAUCAAAAAUUGAUCAUAAACAAAUUUCGAACCUAGAUUAUGGCCUUACUGAGCCCAGUUAGAGAUGUCCAAUUUUUAUUUUCUUGUUAUCUGGGGUUUCGCCACAAGUGAAAAACAAGUUUUCUUAUUGUUGCUUUCAGAAUUUUAGAUUCCUCAAAAUAGUAACUAGAACACGCUUUUAGAUUUUUACUGAAAAAGGAUAUAUGAUGUUGUUAAUUUGUUUAUUUAUUUAAUGAUUGUUUAGGAGAAGUUGCAAUGUGAGGGGACCUUAUUUGAAAAGAACUACAACGACAAAUAUGUUGUGGAAUACUACAGAAUACCAUUAAUCUAUGUUUUCUUAAACAACGCUCUGGACAUAACAUAGUACAUUCCUCAGGAAUAAAAUAAUUUCUGUGUCUUCGACUUCGAAAAUGCACAUAUGGCUGAUUUUGAUGGCUUUCUCCGUGAUUAGAAAAGGGAGUUUUUCUCUCUGAAUCAUGUUUUGCCAUAAGAUUUGAUACACCUAUUAAAAGUAUCAAGAAAAGUAUAGAAAAAUUUAAUCAAUAUAUACAUUGUUAGAAACAGAUGAUAGAUAUAUUUUUUUUUUAUCUCACUUGAUCGAUAAUAAACUUACAUGGUGAAAUAAGAAUAAGAAGAGUGAAAAACGAGAAAAGUGUCUUCAUUUAAAAGAAAAACGUUUGAAAAUUCGUUUUAAAAUUUGAGUUUGAAGUUAUUGAANNNNNNNNNNNNNNNNNNNNNNNNNNNNNNNNNNNNNNNNNNNNNNNNNNNNNNNNNNNNNNNNNNNNNNNNNNNNNNNNNNNNNNNNNNNNNNNNNNNNNNNNNNNNNNNNNNNNNNNNNNNNNNNNNNNNNNNNNNNNNNNNNNNNNNNNNNNNNNNNNNNNNNNNNNNNNNNNNNNNNNNNNNNNNNNNNNNNNNNNNNNNNNNNNNNNNNNNNNNNNNNNNNNNNNNNNNNNNNNNNNNNNNNNNNNNNNNNNNNNNNNNNNNNNNNNNNNNNNNNNNNNNNNNNNNNNNNNNNNNNNNNNNNNNNNNNNNNNNNNNNNNNNNNNNNNNNNNNNNNNNNNNNNNNNNNNNNNNNNNNNNNNNNNNNNNNNNNNNNNNNNNNNNNNNNNNNNNNNNNNNNNNNNNNNNNNNNNNNNNNNNNNNNNNNNNNNNNNNNNNNNNNNNNNNNNNNNNNNNNNNNNNNNNNNNNNNNNNNNNNNNNNNNNNNNNNNNNNNNNNNNNNNNNNNNNNNNNNNNNNNNNNNNNNNNNNNNNNNNNNNNNNNNNNNNNNNNNNNNUUAAACAUCAUUUAAUUUUUUCCUUUUUAAAUAAUACUUUUAUUUAAAAGCUAUAUAAUUCAAGUCAAUUUAAAAAUUUCUUUUAAAUGGUUCCCAUAAGAUAUAUAUACAUAUAUAUAUAUUAAAUUUGUAUAGAGUUGAAAUAAUAUUAAUAUUACAAACUUUUUAUAUAAUUUAAAUAUUAUAAAUAUUUUUAAAAAUAUGCAAUAUAUAUUUUUUGUUAUUGAAUAAGAGGAUAUUAUGUGUAAGAAAUGUAGAAAAUAAGAGUUUAAUAUUUUUAUUAUGGAGUCGCAAGAAAAAUCUUUUAUUUCUAUACAUGUUAUUCGUUUAUUAAUAAUAAAAGAAAACAAAUCCUUUAAAUUAGAUAUUAACUAAAAUAAACGCACCAUAAUUACUUAUUAAGUAACAACCAAUAAAUUUCACCAAAAAAUAUGUAACAACCAAUAAAUUCUAAACGCAGUAAUUAAAGAAUGAGAUAUUAAAAAAAAAUAUCAAAUAAGAUAUAAGAAUCUUAAAAUAAUUGAAUAUCUAAAUAAUUUAAUUGUUAGUGUCGAUUUUAAUGCCUUCAUUAAUGUGGAUUUUUUUUUAGAGAGAAAUAUUUCCUAAAGAUUAUCACAUUAAUGACUCAGAAAAUUAAGGAAGAUAUGAAUUUAUGAUUCUCGAAAUCGUGUUGGUAAUAUCUUUAAUUAAUAUUUUUCAAAUUUAAAUAAUUAAUGCUAAUGGCAUUCAUCUGUAAAUACAUUCCAACUCCAGGAUUUAUUUGCUAAAAGUCAUCCAAAAAUGUAUAUAUAGACUAGAAUUUAACCCGCGGUACACCGCGUGGCUAUAUUUUUUUAAAAAAUAUAAUAUUAUUUUUUAAAGAAAGUGGUUUUACAACGUGAUUAGUCAAAGUGUCGAGUGUCGACGUAGUUUUCAAUUUGCAGGCAGACAGGAUUGGUUUUUGCACCAAACCGAAGACAUUAGAGAAUUUUUUGGUUUAGAAUAUUAAUCCUACAAACCAAAUGUUAACAGAAGAUGCUUAAAAGGAUUAUUAUUAGAAAUAGGUUGGAUCGUGAAACGAAUGAUGGGAAUUGGAAAUUACACAACUUUGUUCUGUUAUGCAAUAGCAAUAUUUGCAAUUUCGGUAUGAGUUAAAAGACCGGAAAAAGAAAUUAAACCAGCACCGGCCAACAAAUGUAGAAAACCGACCAGAGGCUCUUGAUUUUAACGCAGUCGUUUUCGGGAUACUAAAAAACCUCAUGUGGAUGUGAAGAAUGAGAUUUUAAUUUAUAUAAAAAGAUGUAAACUUCAAAAUUGGGUUUUACUUUCCAAGACAUCUUCACGUGAUGUUUUUCUAUAUGCUCUCUAAAAUAUAUCUUUAUAAGUUAUAAAUUUACCAUCAAAUUAUUAAAAAUAACAAUGUUAUUUUAUCCGCGAUUACCCUAUUUUUUUUUUUUUGAUAAAUCCUAUCGGCUAUCCGGUCGGCCCCAGUAGAAAUGCACCGAAAUGCUACAUAGUGGACUGGUCCACUAUCUUAUCAAAAACCCUAUCGGCUAUCCGGAUGCUUGGGCCGAUCACCCUAUCUUAUCAAAAACCACAUAGCCAUACGCAUUUAUUCAGAAUUGGUUGUAUCCAAUUCUCAACAUUUGGUCUAUAAUAGAAUUUAUGUGGUAUAUAUUCAUAAUGUAUUGAAAAUUUUGCAGCUUGCGAAGGUUUAAAAAGUAAAAAAAAAAUUACCUGCACUACUACUCCCCAAUAUUUACCAAUUUACCACGGUCCUUUACUUCACUCGAAUCAUUUCCAAGAAGCCCAUAUAGGUUCGGCCCAUUAUAUCGUGUCUCAGUGGCAUUUUUGUACUUCGUCCAUUAAAUAUAGUCAAAGAAAGUCUUUGACGCAAAUUUUAAAUUCAAUUAAAAAAAAUAGUUUUAAGUUUCUUCUCCAAAAGCGAGCGAGCGAGAGAGAGAGAGAGAGAGAGAUCCGAUCCAAGGCCGGAAAAUAUGGCGGAGCUGUCUUGCCUUCAGAUCCACGAUGCUAACGACGCCGUUUUCAACCAUUACCACCACCAACGGCGGCUACAUGAUCACCUGAGAGAUCAAUCGUUUUCUCAGAUCCUCUAUCCGCUUCCUCACUGGGUCCAAUCAGACGACGGCGAUCUCUACGUCUCUGAAUCCGAUUUUUCUCCCGGCGACGUUUCGGUUUCCGAUUUAGUAUUCACGGCAGCCGACGGUCUUGAUCUACUCGAUCGGCGUAGCUUUGUCAUGGAUUUGUUCCACCAACGCGUUGAACAAUCUCAGGUAUGUCCGCUUGAUGAUGACGGAAUCGACGAUUUCGAAAAUUACGAGAUGCGUGGGGAUAAUGUGGAACUUGAUUUUGGAUUGGAGUUAGAAUCUGGUUUCGUUGAUAGUGAUCUUGUUGUUAACCUUAAUGAACACGAUUUCGUUGAUGGGAUGAGGUUAUUAGGGAUUGAGUCACGCGAUGUUAUAGUUACUGUGGAAUCGGGUUUUGAUUCUGAUGAUGAAGAUGAUCAAGAGAAGGAUGAGAGUGAGAUUUGGGGAAUUGAUUUGAAUGAAGAAGAUGAGUAUGUGAAUGAGGAGGAUGAUGAAGAAGAAGAUGUUAGUGUGACAAUUCCUCUUUGUUGGGAUUCACUUCAAUUGGAAGAUUUAGGAAUAAACAACGAGGAAUUCGAAUGGGAAGAAGUUGAUGGUGAUGAUGAGAGGGAGGUUUCAAGCGUUUUAGAUGAUAACAAUUCGGUAUCAGUCUCUGUCUCAGCCACGAUCUCUUUAGAAGAUUUGGCGAUAAGUGAGAGAAGGGGGAGUAGUAGUUUAGGGUGGGAAGUUUUGUUGAAUUCUCGUACUCUCGAGUUUAAUCUAGAUGAUUCAGAAAGCAACUUGGAGUUAUACAUUGGUGAUAUUGAUCAUGAAGAAGAAGAUUAUGAAGAUUAUCUUCAUACAACAGAGUAUGAGAUGUUGUUUGAAGCUGAGAUCUCAUCUGGUAUUGGUAAGCCUCCAGCAUCCAAAUCAUUCAUAAAGAAUCUAAAAGUGUCUCCUCUGACCAAUGAAGAUGUUAUGGAGAAUGAUGAUGACGCGGUGUGUUGUGCGGUUUGCAAAGAAGAGAUGAAUGUAGGAAAGGAGGUUGCAGAGUUGCCUUGUAGACAUAAGUACCAUAGUGAAUGUAUUGUUCCAUGGCUCGGGAUUAGGAAUACGUGUCCUGUUUGUCGUUUCGAGUUGCCUUCGGAUUGAAGACUUAAGCAUGGCCGGUUUUCAAGACCCUGGAAGUUAGGGUUUACAAGAUGAAGAAGAUGAUGACUUACUUGUGUAAUUAAUAGGAUAUAACUUGACUUGCGGGUCUUAUUAGAGUUAGAGCCAGUAAAAAAUAUUUACAUUUUGUUGUAUGAACAAAAUUUUGUUUUGUUUGCCCCUCUUAAAUUGAAAAUUUGUUACCUUUUUCAUAAUAUUCUUAUGUUCAACUUGUAUUACAAACCAAACUUUUAUUGGGAUAAUUAUUGGAGACUAACACUUGAAAAAAUACUAAGCUAUACGGCAUAAAAUCAUUUUUAAACUAGCACAUUUUGAUGAUAUUGACGACAUUUAGUUUCAGUAAUAAUCUUCGUAAAGAAUAUUCUGUGUUGUGUCAUUUAAUCACCCAGAGAUUCUUUUGCCUCAAUGGGUUCAGGUUGGUUCAGACGAAACUUUGCAGAAAAGAGACUUAUUGUCCGUUUCUGGAAACAAGACAUUGCCUCUCCGUAACGUUAAUCACCAUUUUUGUUAGCACUUUCAAAGCUGUUAAGCAUCAUUAUCUCUCUUAAUUGUGUUUGGUUUCUGCUUUAAGCCUUUCAUUGGCCUUGAAAUUCAAGAUUAUUCCUUAAUCUCAGUUUGGAAACAACGCAUUAAUGAGUUUUUUUUUUUACUUUAUUGCGGUAGGUUGUAUUUGCUAUCGCCUAUCGGCAUUAUUUUCUUCUUAUAUGAUUAAGAUCCAAUUACCAAAAAGGAAUUAAGAUAACAACUUUAUACAAUUAGCAUUGUCUUUGUACAAGUAGGUACAACAGUUUGAUUAACUUACGCUAAUGGUACUAAUUUACGCUAAUGGAACAUCAUCUUGAAUCGUUUCACAUUUUCUUUUUUAUCUACUUUUAAAGAAAUUAUAUAAUUCCUAGGAUUUUCUAAAUUGACGAAUAGACUUGGAACAGUAAAAUUGCGAGUGAAAAUAGCUAAAAACGUGCAAGUUAGCAUCCACCGACCUAUUUCACGAAGAAGUCCUUCUGAUGACAAACAUUAUUGUAUUACACACGAAUUAGCUUACGUCGGAUUCGCACAUAAUUGAAAAGAAAAAACAAAAGAAAGAAUAAUUAAGUUGUAUAUAUCUAAUACAUUCAUCUCCCUUUUAAGAAUUUUAAAUGAUUAAAACAAAAUUUUUAUGGAUUGUUUUUGUUAAUCGAUCAAGUUAAAUGUGACCAAACGGCUCAUCAUAUAUAAAAUUUGCAAAACAAAGAAAAUAAAAGGACUUGAAAAGGAGGUUAUCGUGAGAAACAAUAGACUAACCUUGACAAAGAUGUAAAUAAAUGAGAUUUUGUCAAAAAGUAUCACUAGAUAGUUUAGUUUGUGGAAAGUUUUAAUUGGUAGGCAAAAAAUGUAAAUACAUUUGUCCUCAUGCAAGUAAAUUUGUUUGUCAUUAUAAAGCAUCCAUCAACCUUAAGUAUGAACCUACACAAAUCUUUUGUCUCUUCUCUCAUUCUCUAUCUUCCUCAUUCUCACUCGCUCUAGUUCUAUCACUCUCCCUAUCCUCUCGAUCUCUCACUUUUGACGUUUCUGAUUUCUGCAUCACAGAGAAUUCAGUUUGAUGAUUAGACAUCUAAAACCCUACAUGGAGUCGUCUAGUGUCCAUCGCUCUCAUUGUUUCGAUAUUCUUGAUGGAGUCCCACUACAGGACGAUCAUUUCAGCUCGGCAUUCCUACCAAACACUGACUUCAAUGUCCAGUUGAAUUCCAUAUCGACCCGCAACAACAAUCAGUCUCACUUAGACCCAAAUGCAGAAAACAUUUUCCAUAAUGAAGGUCUAGCUCCAGAAGAAAGGAGGGCAAGAAGAAUGGUCUCUAACCGGGAAUCUGCAAGAAGGUCACGUAUGCGCAAAAAGAAGCAGAUCGAAGAGCUGCAACAACAAGUUGAACAGCUCAUGAUGUUGAAUCAUCACUUGCAUGAGAAAGUCAUCAACUUGUUGGAAAGCAACCACCAAAUCCUGCACGAGAACUCACAGCUGAAAGAGAAAGUCUCUUCCUUUCACUUGCUCAUGGCAGAUGUGUUAUUACCCAUGAGAAAUGCAGAGAGCAACAUCAAUGACCGCAAUGUGAAUUAUCUAAGAGGAGAAACUUCAAACCGUCCCACCAACAGUUCCUUUGGUAAGUAAAAUAAAGUUUCAUGAUCCACUCUUCUAGUUCUUGGUGUGUUUACUAAAAAAGUCUGUAGUACUAUGAUAGAUGCAUAUAUGUGACUAGUGACUAUUACACUAGCAAUUACUUGAAUUUGUAUGUAGAUAAUGGAUAACAACAAUGCAGUAGCUAUUAUUGUUUAAUAUCUACUUGUUUCACAUGAUUGGUCUAAAGAAGCAAAUCAACUUAAGCAAAAGGUUCAACAAACAUUGUUAACACCAAAAACAGAACAAAAAAACUAAAUGGGCAUAUCUGGUUUCUUGCCAACAUCACAAGUAUCCUCUAAGACAGUACCUCCAUUGGAGAUUUCACCAUUGGGUAUCUCUGCAGAAGCUGAAUCAAUGACCUCUUCUUGUUCUUCUUCUACAUCUCCUACUUCUUCAACUUCUUCUUCAACCUCUUCUACUUCUUCCAUUUCUUCUACUUCAUCUUCUUCUUCUUCUUCGAUGCAUUGUGGCGGGUCUAGAAACGAAGCAUCCGGGUCUGCAUACCAACGUGCACAAGGCCACCUGAAAGAAAUAUCCAAAACCCAAGAUAAACAGUAUUAUCAUCCAAAAAUACGAAAACUUAUGACAAAAACCUCUGUUUUAUACACCAAUCUGAUUACUUACACGCUUGAACAAAUGGUUUCACCAUCAAUUGUUGUUGUCUCCUCAUAUUCAUCCACUGAAACAAAAAAAGAUCAAAUUUUUUAUGAAAUCUUAACCACAAGAACAAGAAUGAGACUAAUAACCUUGAGAGAAGUGCUUAUCCAUGAGAUACUUCCUAAAGUCAGCUUCAUAUCUUCGAUACUUCUCAGCAUACUCAUCGCUAUCCAGAUACCUAAGAAUGAAAUUGGUAUUUGUGAACAUUCAAUUUUAGGUUCUUCAAUUGCACCACAAAGAAAAGGAAGCAAAAUUACUUGUAAAAGGAUGGUUCUUCAACAACCAGUUGAUCUGUUAAAAUUCUGUUGCUAUUCACAAUAUCCAUCAUCUGCAAUACAGUCGGAGUUUUAUAGAUCGUGUAAAUUACUCUGUGAGAGAGCACAGAGAGCGGAGAGAAUACCGUAAUUUGUGCCGCCGGAGAGGGAGGAGCGGCGGAAAUAUGUUCAGAGAUGACUGGAAUCUCCUGCGGCGGUGGCUGCUCCACCUGCGGAGGCCGAAUCGCCGGAGAUGUAGCACUCUCGCUCGUCAUACGUCUUCAGUUUUUUUUUUUUUUUGAAUUUUUUUUUGAAAACUCAAUCUAUUGACUAUGAUUGUCAUUGUACUAUCUUGGUUUUUUUUUUUGUCAACUUUUUAUAUUAGAAUCAAUUUAUGAAGACUAGGUUUUUGUCUUUUAUAUACUUCUAUAUUAAAUUCAUUUUUGUAAUUUGAAAUUUAUUAAUUUAAAUAUUAAAAAUCAGAUAAUUUCCCGCAUAAUUAAGUAAUUUCGUGUCAAAAAAAUGUCCGCAUAAUCGGUUUCUUUUUUACUUUCGGAAUUUGAUCAAUUUAGUACGAUAUUUGAUGUGUGUUAGGGGUGUCAAAAUGGAUUGAAAUUAAUGGAUCAAUCCAAACCAAUCCAAUCCAUGGAUCUAAUGAAUUGGAAAUUUGGAUCUUAAUGGAUUAAUGGAUUAAAUGGAUUAGUGAGUUUAAUGAAUUGGAUUGAAAUGGUUAAGAUUAUAAUGGAUUAGUGGUUUACUCAUAACCAAACCAAUAAAAAUUAAAUAAUUUAAUUCAGAUGUAUAAACCAAAUAUAACCGAAACAAAUGUCUAAACCGAUUUAAUAAACCGAAACAAAACCUAAUUUCUCACUUUCUCACAAUCGAUCUCGCUCUCGCUCUCUCUCUCUCAGCCUCCAAUUUCACCAUCGUCGCUUAGAGAAUUUCUCCUUCAAAGCCCCAAAACCAAUUCCAACGACCUCUCUUUUCAGAUUCGACGGUGACCACCAUCUUACACUCCCGGCUAGGUAGGAUCUACUUUAUUCUCCGAUUAGGAAAAUCUCCGGUGAAAUUUGUUGAGAUUAUCAUGUGAUUAUGCUUUCUUCGAUUCUACUGUUUUUGGGUUUUGCUUUAUUUACAUUCUCUGUCACUAAGGAGCUCAAUUUUAGGAUUAACCCAUAACAAUUUGAAGAUGAAUCUCUCUUUGCUGUUUCUGUUCCUUUGCUUUGUGGCUGCUUGUAAGAGAGUCUACUUGUGAAAUUUUAGUCAUUUCUUACAUUUUGAACUUGGUUCUUCAUGUUCUGCAUCAAAUCGUUGCUCUUUGAGCUUGGUUUUUGGGUUUUAUGGGUUUGUGAGCAAAAUUGGCUUACUUUAGAGAUUAGUAUAGAUAUGAAGGAAGAAGAUAUCUGUGUAAAAUAUUGAACGUCGUUAGUAUAGAAAUGAGAUUAGUAUCAUGAACGUUAGUAUAGAUAUGAGAUGGAUUAGUAUCAUGAACGUUAGUAUAGAUAUUCUUUAAUCAUGUGAUAUGUUUGGUUUCUCUCUGCAAAUAUUCAAACAGAUAUCUGUGUCUUCUUUUCUAAGUUUUUUUUUUUUGGUAACAAUUCUUUUGCAAGUUCCUGUGUCUUCUUUUACUCUAAUUAGCAAAGUUACUCUUGAAUGUGGAUUUAUGGCUCUUGAAUGUGGAUUUAUGGCUCUUAAUUAUUAACAUCUCAUUUGACUUAAAUCUGCAGACUUAAACCUAAGACUUAACCGAUAUAUAGUUGUGACUGCACACUAUGUAGAUACGAAGUGGAUAUUGCAUAGCAAAAUGCUAUCAUUUUGUGAUAUCCUUCCUCCUCACACCGGUGAUGCUUUAGCUAGUAAAAUCCACGAAUCGUAGAUGAUGCUACCAAUUUAAUUUAUUGGAGAAGAAAAAUAUUUCUCCUUUUAACAAAGAAACAAAUCUAAAACAAAAUAGCAAGCUAAUUUUUUUUUUCUUAAGAU